AGAGUUUGAUCCUGGCUCAGGACGAACGCUGGCGGCGUGCCUAACACAUGCAAGUCGAACGGACCGAAUUAGAGCUUGCUCUGAGGAGGUUAGUGGCGGACGGGUGAGUAACGCGUGAGUAACCUGCCUGUAAGAGAGGGAUAACGUCUGGAAACGGACGCUAAUACCACAUAAAAUUUAAGCAUCGCAUGGUGAAUAAAUCAAAGGAGAAAUCCGCUUACAGAUGGACUCGCGUCCGAUUAGCUAGUUGGUGGGGUAAAGGCCUACCAAGGCGACGAUCGGUAGCCGGACUGAGAGGUUGAACGGCCACAUUGGGACUGAGACACGGCCCAGACUCCUACGGGAGGCAGCAGUGGGGGAUAUUGCACAAUGGGGGAAACCCUGAUGCAGCAACGCCGCGUGAGGGAAGAAGGUUUUCGGAUUGUAAACCUCUGUCCUUAGUGAAGAUAAUGACGGUAGCUAAGGAGGAAGCUCCGGCUAACUACGUGCCAGCAGCCGCGGUAAUACGUAGGGAGCGAGCGUUGUCCGGAUUUACUGGGUGUAAAGGGUGCGUAGGCGGCAAUGCAAGUCAGAUGUGAAAUACAUGGGCUUAACCGAUGAACUGCAUUUGAAACUGUGUUGCUUGAGUGAAGUAGAGGCAGGCGGAAUUCCCUGUGUAGCGGUGAAAUGCGUAGAGAUAGGGAGGAACACCAGUGGCGAAGGCGGCCUGCUGGGCUUUAACUGACGCUGAAGCACGAAAGCAUGGGUAGCAAACAGGAUUAGAUACCCUGGUAGUCCAUGCCGUAAACGAUGA
RNAcentral lists this ribosomal RNA (793 nucleotides) under uncultured bacterium. RNAcentral's name for it is "bacterial SSU rRNA". It matches the Rfam family "Bacterial small subunit ribosomal RNA", at positions 8 to 812 of the family's 1533-position model. The record is from RNAcentral.